GCAACGCGAAGAACCUUACCAACUCUUGACAUCCCAUUGACCGCUUGAGAGAUCAAGUUUUCCCUUCGGGGACAAUGGUGACAGGUGGUGCAUGGUUGUCGUCAGCUCGUGUCGUGAGACGUUGGGUUAAGUCCCGCAACGAGCGCAACCCCUAUCCUUAGUUGCCAGCAUUGAGUUGGGCACUCUAGGGAGACUGCCGGUGACAAACCGGAGGAAGGUGGGGAUGACGUCAAAUCAUCAUGCCCCUUAUGAGUUGGGCUACACACGUGCUACAAUGGACGGUACAAAGGGCAGCGAGACCGCGAGGUGGAGCCAAUCCCAUAAAGCCGUUCCCAGUUCGGAUUGCAGGCUGCAACUCGCCUGCAUGAAGUCGGAAUCGCUAGUAAUCGCAGGUCAGCAUACUGCGGUGAAUACGUUCCCGGGUCUUGUACACACCGCCCGUCACACCACGAGAGUUUGCAACACCCGAAGCCGGUGAGUAACCGCAAGGAGCCAGCCGUCGAAGU
This 506-nucleotide ribosomal RNA is filed under the name uncultured Exiguobacterium sp. RNAcentral describes it as "bacterial SSU rRNA". It matches the Rfam family "Bacterial small subunit ribosomal RNA", at positions 956 to 1462 of the family's 1533-position model. The record is from RNAcentral. Lineage: Bacteria; Bacillati; Bacillota; Bacilli; Caryophanales.